This is a non-coding RNA of Nelumbo nucifera (sacred lotus), 3242 nucleotides long. The record is from RefSeq and is a predicted model, not a curated record. Lineage: Eukaryota; Viridiplantae; Streptophyta; Magnoliopsida; Proteales; Nelumbonaceae.
CAUUACUCUCCUUUAAAUGCUCACGUAUUUGCUGCCUUUCUCCUAUCACUGCGCCUCUCUCUCAGUCACAGGUUAACUGGGUGAGAGAAGUCACUCUUUUUAUCGGUGAAAGUCAUCGUCUCUCUCUCUGAUCAGAGAUGGCAUCAAUACACACUGCAUUGACACCUGUUGUGUGCAAGAAAAGCAAAAGCUCUCCUUCAGUUAAGUUGCUGAAUACUUCCUUCCUUCUCGGCUGUGAUGUUGGUGGGCGUGCUUCAAAUGCGUGGGAAAAGGAAGUACCUACUUCCAUGAGGUACAGCCCUAGAGCUACACUAACAUUUGGUCCCUCAACUUCUAAUCCAGAAAAGACCAAACAGAGGAAACACACAGUUAAUCCUGCUGCUCCUGAUUUUCUUCCUCUUCCAUCCUUUGAACAAUGCUUUCCAAGGAGUACAAAGGAAUACAGGGAGGUUGUUCAUGAGGAAUCUGGUCAUUUACUCAAGGUUCCAUUUCGUCGGGUUCACCUUUCCGGGGAUGACACAUACUUUGACACCUAUGAUACAAGUGGUCCUCAAAAUGUUAGUCCACAUGUUGGUCUUCCAAAAAUACGCAAAGAGUGGGUGGAUAGGCGUGAAAGGUUAGGUGGACCUAGAUAUACUCAAAUGUUCUAUGCUAAAAAGGGAAUUGUCACUGAAGAGAUGUUAUUCUGUGCUGCUCGUGAGAAGCUUGAUCCAGAAUUUGUUAGGUCAGAGGUUGCACGUGGAAGGGCAAUCAUUCCUUCCAACAAGAAGCACUUGGAGUUGGAGCCAAUGCUAGUCGGAAGGAAUUUCUUGGUUAAAGUUAAUGCAAAUAUUGGAAACUCAGCUGUAGUUAGCUCCAUUGAAGAAGAGGUACACAAACUUCAAUGGGCAACAAUGUGGGGUGCAGACACUGUCAUGGAUCUCUCUACUGGUCGCCACAUCCAUGAGACCCGUGAGUGGAUCCUACGUAACUCUGCUGUACCAGUAGGGACUGUCCCCAUAUAUCAAGCCCUUGAGAAAGUAAAUGGAAUUGCAGAAAAUCUCAGUUGGGAUGUUUUCAGAGAUACGCUGAUAGAACAAGCAGAGCAGGGUGUGGAUUACUUCACCAUCCAUGCAGGGGUUCUUCUCCGUUACAUCCCAUUAACUGCGAAGCGCAUGACAGGAAUUGUUUCCCGUGGAGGAUCUAUUCAUGCAAAGUGGUGCUUGGCAUAUCACAAGGAGAACUUCGCUUAUGAGCACUGGGAUGAUAUCCUUGACAUAUGUAAUCAAUAUGAUGUCGCACUAUCUAUUGGUGAUGGACUGAGGCCUGGGUCAAUUUAUGAUGCCAAUGACACUGCUCAAUUUGCUGAGCUCUUGACUCAAGGGGAGCUGACACGCAGAGCAUGGGAAAAGGAUGUUCAGGUUAUGAAUGAAGGACCAGGACAUAUUCCAAUGCACAAAAUUCCUGAAAACAUGGAAAAGCAGCUGGAGUGGUGCAAUGAGGCACCUUUCUACACACUUGGUCCAUUAACAACUGAUAUUGCACCUGGGUAUGAUCAUAUCACAUCAGCCAUUGGUGCUGCUAAUAUUGGGGCUCUAGGAACUGCACUCCUCUGUUAUGUAACGCCAAAGGAGCACCUUGGAUUACCAAACCGGGAUGAUGUGAAAGCUGGGGUUAUAGCAUAUAAGAUAGCUGCUCAUGCGGCUGAUUUAGCUAAAGGUCAUCCACAUGCUCAAGCCUGGGAUGAUGCACUGAGCAAGGCAAGAUUUGAGUUUAGAUGGAUGGACCAGUUUGCUCUCUCUCUGGAUCCCAUGACUGCGAUGGCCUUCCAUGAUGAGACCCUGCCAUCAGAUGGUGCCAAAGUGGCACAUUUCUGUUCUAUGUGUGGACCCAAGUUCUGUUCUAUGAAGAUAACUGAGGAUGUCAGAAAGUAUGCUGAAGAACAUGGAUACGGUAGUGCUGAAGAGGCUAUGCAACAUGGAAUGGAAGCAAUGAGUGCAGAAUUUUUAGCAGCUAAGAAAACUGUUAGUGGGGAGCAGCAUGGUGAAGUUGGUGGAGAAAUCUAUUUGCCUGCAAACUAUGUUACAGGUUCAGUGGAAUGAUGAAGGGAUAUUUUCAAAAGUUUCGUUUGAGCUUCUUGGAGCCCUGUCUGGUGGAUGAUUGGCGUUCAAUAGUGGUUUAUGGUCUUCAUUCCAGGCUUUAGUCCUGGCCUUUUUUUGCUGGGAAAUGGGCAGGGCUGGCUGAGAAAGUCCCUUCGAACCUGAACAGGAUAAUGCCUGCGUAGGGAGUGUGCAUUUCCGUUUCUCCAUUUUUUUCUGUGUUUUCACAGGGAUCAGGCUUUCCAUCCAUGGUUCUGGCUAGCUGAUCCAUGUGGGGCAGCUUCAUCUUCAUGGUCAGGCUUAUUUAUCCUUGAUCUGCGGAGUAUCUAAAAUUGCUUCAGUUUUCAAUUCUUUCAUGCUUUGAUCUUAAUUUUUAAACAUCGCUGGAUACUUAACCAAUCAGCCACGUUAGUUGCAACUUUUGGGAAAUUUAGAGGAUGCAUGCUGCUGGUCCUGCAUGUGAAUUAGUGUCAUCUUUAGUUUUGCAUUCUUUCACCUCAAAACUUACUAUCUAUAUUCCUGGAUCGAUUUCCGUUUCUUCACACACUUAUUCUAUUUUCCACAUACACGUUAUCUUGGAAUUCUGCAUUGCUAUUUAACCAUGAUUUUUUUAAUAGGCAAUAACCAUAAUUUAUGUACAUAUGGAUAUUUGUUAAUCUGAGGCAACUUUACUGUCUUUCAAACCAACUUAUCAUUGUUCAAAAUAUUUUAUAUUUUUCAAUGGGUCUGUUUUUUCAACUUUUUUUCUUGUAUCAUGCUUCUGAAAUCUGAAUAUCAUGGUUCCUCCAAAUCUCACGAAAAGUGACUGUUUUGAUAUCAAACGCACUUUUUUGGUAGAGCUGCAGUCAUACAGAUUUUUAAGAAGUAUUGGGUUAUUGGUAGUUCCAUAAUUCCAAAAGAUCCAACUAACAUGGUUGAUGUCUCUUUGUGUCGGCUGAUAGUUUAAACCAUCAUCAUGGUCAAAACAUCAACAAACAACGAAUCAGACUGGCAUUACUGUGAUUAUGAGUUGUAGAUAUUGAUUAAAAUAGCUGAUUUCUCUGUGUGCAAUUCCAUCCUUGAAAUUCACAAGGUUUCGUCAUUGUCAGAUGCUGAUGGGAAAUUCCCACAUCCCAGAUCUUCCAUAUGAUAAAAGGAAAGUAAUAUAUGAUUCUUAAUGCCGUA